CAUCCCCAAAUCCAGCGGCUAAGUUCCUGUUGACGAGGCGGCCCAGCUCCCCAGGCGUGGCUGUGUUCCGGAUAUCCACAUCGUGGGGCGACACAUAAAGCUUUGUGUCAUUCAAGUCAAAGAACUCGACUUCUGUGAGACCCACCCACCACGAGUUGCCCCAGUUGGACAGGAUCUCCAUGGUCACGUAGAUGGCAUCUUUGAUCUCGUCUGCCCUCAUUCUCUGUUUGUCCUUAAAGAAGAGAAAAAUAACACCAAAGGAUUAAGUCAUGACAGGCUUGAAUUCGGCUCUGCCUCUGCCACCACUGCCUUCAAAAAGUUAGUUAACCUUCAGGGUCUCAGUCUCUCCAUCUGUACAAUGAGGAUAAGAAUAGCACCCACUACCUAUGGUUAUUACAAUGAUUAAAUGAAUUCAUACUGUAAAGCAUUCAAAAUAGAGGCCCUGUGUAACUGGCACUCUGUGAGCAUUCUGUUUGAAAGUUUACAAAUAAAUAAAAAUGUCUAAA
RNAcentral lists this long non-coding RNA (506 nucleotides) under Pan troglodytes (chimpanzee). RNAcentral describes it as "long non-coding RNA NONPTRT006269". The record is from RNAcentral. Lineage: Eukaryota; Metazoa; Chordata; Mammalia; Primates; Hominidae.